Molecule: ribosomal RNA, 484 nt
Filed under: uncultured bacterium
Lineage: Bacteria
Description: partial 16S ribosomal RNA
Rfam family: Bacterial small subunit ribosomal RNA
Source: RNAcentral
AUUGAACGCUGGCGGCAGGCCUAACACAUGCAAGUCGAGCGGAUGAGUGGAGCUUGCUCCAUGAUUCAGCGGCGGACGGGUGAGUAAUGCCUAGGAAUCUGCCUGGUCGUGGGGGACAACGUUUCGAAAGGAACGCUAAUACCGCAUACGUCCUACGGGAGAAAGUGAGGGAUCUUCGGACCUCACGCUAUCUGAUGAGCCUAGUUCGGAUUAGCUAGUUGGUGUGGUAAAGGCUCACCAAGGCGACGAUCCGUAACUGGUCUGAGAGGAUGAUCAGUCACACUGGAACUGAGACACGGUCCAGACUCCUACGGGAGGCAGCAGUGGGGAAUAUUGGACAAUGGGCGAAAGCCUGAUCCAGCCAUGCCGCGUGGGUGAAGAAGGUCUUCGGAUUGUAAAGCACUUUAAGUUGGGAGGAAGGGCAGUAAGUUAAUACCUUGCUGUUUUGACGUUACCAACAGAAUAAGCACCGGCUAACUUCGUG